UUGCCGAUCCGCACACAUUGGAAUUUCGCUAACUCCUCCUAAAUCUUUUGUCCCAUCGGCUUCAAAUUUGCUCAGGUCAAUCUACACCCCAUGGCCAUUCAAAGUUGUACAAAUCAUGACGCUGCACCCCACAGUUUACGUUCUAGGGGGCGCCAAAGAGGACCCAAAUAUCCACAUUUUUAAAAGUCUUAUAACUUUUUAUUUUUGUCCUCACUGGCCUCCAAGUUUUCUAGGAUGAUGCAAUGUCCAGCCAUCAACACAUUUGUGAAGGAAUUUUUCUCCCCAAAAGAGCGCCCCCCAUGGCAGGAGAAAAAGUCAAGUUUUUCCUGCCCAUCGCUCAAUGGCUCAAACGCAUCGCUCUCUCUGCAAAACCGAAAGGAGGAGCAACUUGCCAUUUGGAUAUAUACUAGCUGUGUUUGUGCCCUCACUCAUGGUCCAGACUUUUUUCAAAUAGGACAUGUAGUUUGUCUGCAGCGAGCGUUUUGGUAGAAACUGCGCCUCCCAUUCAUUAUAAUGGGAAAUGACCACAGACAAGUGCGCACACCAUCUUUGGACCUCGAGUGUGACGCGAUCGGGAGGGGGAGGCGGUCGCGCUGGGGGCGGCGCGACGCGGCUCGGGCCCGACAGUGCCCCACCGGGGCCCUAGUUAGGGCCCGAGCGUAGCUGCUAAGCAGCUGCGAGAGCCCUAUUAUUCCUGAUGGAUUCUUCUUUCUUCUUCUUCUUCUUAUUAUUUUUCUGCCCCUUUGAACUGGAAAAUGGCCCACUUCCCACUGGUGAAAAGUCAUGAAAUUUGGCAAGACGACCGGGCCUGGUGAAAAAUUUGAUAUUCUGAAGUCGCCCAAAAAAUCAAAUGCAAAAUGGCUCCAUAGCGCCCCCUAAGGUGAAAAAUUCACAUGAUUGAGUGUCACGCCUGUACGCUUUGUCAAAAUGACACAAAAUUUGACACACACGUGUAUCUCAAUAAGAUCUACAAAAAAGUCAGUGCGGGCGUAUCUGUCAAAUGUACGGUUAAAGGUUUAUUUCGCAUUUUUUGCCGAUCCGCACACAUUUGAAUUUCGCUAACUCCUCCGAAGGUUUUCGUUCCACCGGCACCACAUUUGCUCAGGCCAAUCUACACCCCAUGGCCAAUAAAAGUUGUACAAAUCAUGACGCUGCACCCCACGGUUUACGUUCUAGGGGGCGCCAAAGAUAACCCAAAAAUCCACAGUCUUAAAAGUCUUAUAACUUUUUAUUUUUGUCCUCACUGGCCUCCAAGUUCUCUAGGAUGAUGCAAUGUCCAGCCAUCAACACAUUUGUGAAGGAAUUUUUACUCGCCAAAAGAGCGCCCCCCCAUGGCAGGAGAAAAAUGUCCAUUUUUUCUUGUCUCCUAAGGCGAAAAUACACAUUGUUGACUGUCACGCCUUUACGCUUUGUCAAAAUGACACAAAAUUUGACACACACAUGUAUCUCAAUAAGAUCUACAAAAAAGUCAGUGCGGGCAUAUCUGUCAAAUGUACGGUUAAAGGGUUAUUUCGCAUUUUUUGCCGAUCCGCACACAUUGGAAUUUCGCUAACUCCUCCGAAGGCUUUCAUUCCAACGGCACCACAUUUGCUCAGGCCAAUCUACACCCCAUGGCCAUUAAAAGUUGUACAAAUCAUGACGCUGCACCCCACGGUUUACGUUCUAGGGGGCGCCAAAGAUAACCCAAAAAUCCACAGUCUUAAAAGUCUUAUAACUUUUUAUUUUUGUCCUCACUGGCCUCCAAGUUCUCUAGGAUGAUGCAAUGUCCAGCCAUCAACACAUUUGUGAAGGAAUUUUUACUCGCCAAAAGAGCGCCCCCCAUGGCAGGAGAAAAAAGUCCAUUUUUUCUUGUCUCCUAAGGCGAAAAUACACAUUGUUGACUGUCACGCCUUUACGCUUUGUCAAAAUGACACAAAAUUUGACACACACAUGUAUCUCAAUAAGAUCUACGAAAAAGUCAAUGCGAGCGUAUCUGUUCAAUGUACGGUUAAAGGGCUAUUUCGCAUUUUUUGCCGAUUCGCACACAUUGGAAUGUGGCUAACUCCUCCUAAAGCUUUUGUCCCAUCGGCUUCAAAUUUGCUCAGGUCAAUCUACACCCCAUGGCCAUUCAAAGUUGUACAAAUCAUGAUGCUGCACCCCACGGUUUACGUUCUAGGGGGUGCCAAAGAGGACCCAAAUAUCCACAUUUUUAAAAGUCUUAUAACUUUUUAUUUUUGUCCUCACUGGCCUCCAAGUUUUCUAGGAUGAUGCAAUGUCCAGCCAUCAACACAUUUGUGAAGGAAUUUUUUCUCCCCAAAAGAGCGCCCCCCAUGGCAGGAGAAAAAGUCAAGUUUUUCCUGCCCAUCGCUCAAUGGCUCAAACGCAUCGCUCUCUCGGCAAAACCGAAAGGAGGAGCAACUUGCCAUUUGGAUAUAUCCUAGCUGUGUUUAUGCCCUCACUCAUGGUCCAGACUUUUUUCAAAAAGGACAUGGAGUUUGUCUGCAGCGAGCAUUUUGGUAGAAACUGCGCCUCCCAUUCAUUAUAAUGGUAAAUGACCACAGACGAGUGCGCACACCAUCUUUGGACCUUGAGUGUGACGCGAUCAAGAGGGGUAGGCGGUCGCGCUGGGGGCGGCGCGACACGGCUCGGGCCCGCCAGUGCCCCAACGGGGCCCUAGUUUCUUCUUCUUCUUCUUAUUUUUCUGCCACUUUGAACUGGAAAAUGGCCCACUUCCCACUGGUGAAAACUCAUGAAAUUUGGCAGGACGACCGGGCCUGGUGAAAAAUUCGAUAUUCUGAAGUCGCCCAAACAAUCAAAUGCAAAAUGGCUCCAUAGCGCCCCCUAAUGUGAAAAAUUCACAUGAUUGAGUGUCAAGCCUGUACGCUUUGUCAAAAUGACACAAAAUUUGACAUACACGUGUAUCUCAAUAAGAUCUACAAAAAAGUCAGCGCGGGCGUAUCUGUCAAAUGUACGGUUAAAGGGCUAUUCCGCAUUUUUUGCCGAUCCGCACACAUUGGAAUUUCGCUAACUCCUCCGAAGGCUUUCGUUCCACCGGCACCAAAUUUGCUCAGGCCAAUCUACACCCCAUGGCCAUUAAAAAUUGUACAAAUCAUGACGCUGCACCCCACGAUUUACGUUCUAGGGGGCGCCAAAGAUAACCCGAAAAUCCACAUUCUUAAAAGUCUUAUAACUUGUUAUUUUUGUUCUCACUGGCCUCCAAGUUUUCUAGGAUGAUGCAAUGUCCAGCCAUCAACACAUUUGUGAAGGAAUUUUUACUCCCCAAAAGAUCCCCCCCCCCCCAUGGCAGGAGAAAAAAGUCCAUUUUUUCUUGUCCCCUAAGGUGAAAAUACAUAUUGUUGAGUGUCACGCCUAUACGCUUUGUCAUAUUGACACACAAUUUGACACACACGUGUAUCUCAAUAAGAUCUACAAAAAAGUCAGUGCGGGAGUAUCUGUCAAAUGUACGGUUAAAGGGCUAUUUCGCAUUUUUUGCCGAUCCGCACACAUUGGAAUUUCGCUAACUCCUCCGAAGGCUUUCGUUCCAACGGCACCACAUUUGCUCAGGCCAAUCUACACCCCAUGGCCAUUAAAAAUUGUACAAAUCAUGACGCUGCACCCCACGGUUUAGGUUCUAGGGGGCGCCAAAGAUAACCCAAAAAUCCACAUUCUUAAAAGUCUUAUAACUUUUUAUUUUUGUCCUCACUGGCCUCGAAGUUUUCUAGGAUGAUGCAAUGUCUAGCCAUCAACACAUUUGUGAAGGAAUUUUUACUCCCUAAAAGAGCUCCCCCCCAUUGCAGGAGAAAAAAGUCCAUUUUUUCUUGUCCCCUAAGGUGAAAAUACAUAUUGUUGAGUGUCACGCCUAUACGCUUUGUCAUAUUGACACAAAAUUUGACACACACGUGUAUCUCAAUAAGAUCUACAAAAAAGUCAGUGCGGGAGUAUCUGUCAAAUGUACGGUUAA
Molecule: non-coding RNA, 3940 nt
Organism: Xyrichtys novacula (pearly razorfish)
Lineage: Eukaryota; Metazoa; Chordata; Actinopteri; Labriformes; Labridae
Source: the annotation of a GenBank genome assembly